CUUCUCGCUAUGAGACAGGAACAAAGAAAACGACGAAGGACUGAGAGCAUAGCGUCGAUGGAUGAGACACCCCUUGUUACACCAGUGGAGACAACUGGGGGAGCACCAGCAUCAGCACCUGCAGGCCUAGAGGAUGAAGCUGACCAGGGGCCGGUGUGUGCUGAGGUAAAGAUCCCCGCCUUCACAAGAGGACACUGUCAAUUGGAAGCAAGAGAUGUGGAAAACACAAGGACAAUUGCUCAUCUCCGAAUUCACGUGGAAAGGGUGAUUGGAACUGUCUGAAACAAAUACACAAUUUUGUCUGCAAAAGUGCCCAUCAACAUGGUGUUGCCAUGUGAAGGUGAAGAAAAAACAUUCCUUGACAAGAUUGUGUCUGUAUGUUGUACUCUGACCAUCAUGAGCAGGAGUGUUGUGCAAAGCUGAAGUUGACUGAAAUAAAUGUGCUUUGAGACUCAA
This is a long non-coding RNA of Engraulis encrasicolus (European anchovy), 456 nucleotides long. RefSeq lists it as uncharacterized. The record is from RefSeq and is a predicted model, not a curated record. The transcript is spliced from 2 exons. Lineage: Eukaryota; Metazoa; Chordata; Actinopteri; Clupeiformes; Engraulidae.